This 337-nucleotide ribosomal RNA is filed under the name uncultured Bacillota bacterium. Its description in RNAcentral is "bacterial SSU rRNA". It matches the Rfam family "Bacterial small subunit ribosomal RNA", at positions 29 to 351 of the family's 1533-position model. The record is from RNAcentral. Lineage: Bacteria; Bacillati; Bacillota.
CGCGAACGCCAGCAGGGGGCUUAAGACAUGCAAGUCGUGCGCGAAAGUCCGAAAGGAUGUGUAGCGCGGCAAACGGGUGAGUAACGCGUGGUUAACCUUCCCUCCGGAUCGGGAUAACCCCUCGAAAGGGGGGAUAAUACCGGGUACGCUUGAUUGGACUGCGGUCCGAUCAUGAAAAGAUGGCCUAUGCUUGCAAGCUAUCACCGGGGGAUGGGGCCGCGUCCCAUCAGCUAGUUGGUAGGGUAACGGCCUACCAAGGCUAAGACGGGUAGCUGGUCUGAGAGGACGACCAGCCACACUGGCACUGAGAUACGGGCCAGACUCCUACGGGAGGCAG